RNAcentral lists this long non-coding RNA (318 nucleotides) under Zostera marina. Its description in RNAcentral is "long non-coding RNA (ZMAR_LNC001777)". Lineage: Eukaryota; Viridiplantae; Streptophyta; Magnoliopsida; Alismatales; Zosteraceae. The record is from RNAcentral.
GACCCUUUUUAUAGGGUCUUGGAGGGCACAAUCAAAGGCGGACAUCGCGCCUAUGGUCAUAUAUGGUAACAUUUAUGACGUUGGCUGACGGCGAGUAACGGUCGUAAGUCGGCGAUUCAGGUAUGGAAGUCGCCUAGUUAGGGUUAACUCGUCGAGUUUCCAGGGGCGAGAUGUGCAGUCUACCAUACUGCCGAUCUUGGCCCUAACUCGACGACUUAUCCCUAAAGUCGGCGACUUGGUAGUCCAACCGGCGACUUACGGGCUAACUCGGCGAUCUGGACGAUGAACGUGUUCCGCACCGUGGGAGCUCUCCGGGGG